This 987-nucleotide long non-coding RNA is filed under the name Homo sapiens (human). RNAcentral's name for it is "PREDICTED lncRNA (TCONS_00041263)". The record is from RNAcentral. Lineage: Eukaryota; Metazoa; Chordata; Mammalia; Primates; Hominidae.
UAAUAGUACUCACCUCAGAAGGCUGUUGUGAGAAUUAAAUAAUUCCUGUAAAGCAGGUAGCAGAGUGCUUGGCACAUAGCAUCCAGGAAAAACUGAGCGAGUUCUUGUGAAACUGAAGUACACUGAAGGUGUUUGCUAUUUAAAGGUAUCUUCUGGUGGAUCGUCUUGGAAAACAUGGACCCAAAUCUUGCGAGAGCUAUCAGUGAGUCUCCUCUCCUGCUCUGCAUCUCUCAGGACUGUGUCCCAGCUCCAGAAGAAUGAGCCUGCACAGCUUGGACUGUCACCUCUGGCAGGUUCCUGCUCUUUGAUGAAGCCUCGUCAUAAUUACAGGUGUUUGAAAGUUCCUCCAUUGAUCUUCUCUCUCCUGCUGCCUUGUCAAGAAGGUGCCUGCUUCCCCUUUGCCUUGCACCAUGAUUCUAAGUUUCCUGAGGCCUCCCCAGCCAUGUAAAACUAGCCUUAUCUUCAACAGCUGCUAAAAUUGAAGAACAAAAAGAAUCUUUGAAACUUCCCUUCAACUGGUCAUCCUCUUCCCUUUUUCUCUCCUUUAAACACUGUUCCAAUUCAUUAUGAUGGCCCCAAAGCAAAGACAGACAUGGAAGUGAACAUUGGAGUGGAAGGAAUGACGGGGAGCAAAGGUCUGCUUUCUUUCUAUCAUUCUUGUAUCAACUCUAAAUUGAAACCCAAAUCACUGAAAUCUAAAAAAUCACAUGAAAGCAAGUCAAUGACUAAAAGAAAAUGAAAUGAGAGAUCCUAUCAGAGAAAUAUGAAAGGGAAAAUACCACUGAUUAAAUAAGUUAUGGGAAAAAUAAAUCAUUACACCAUUAAAUGUAUACGUCGACAUACUGUAUGUUGUUAUGUGCUUAUUGUCUUUCACCAGUAGAAUGUAAGUCCCAUAAGGGUAAGGACUUUAUAUAUUCUUUUCACAGCAGUGUCUCUAGUGCAUGGAACAGUUCCUAGCACAAAAUAAACAGUUGUUGAAUAAGUGAA